GGAACACAGCUGGCCUCAGAGUCAACACGAUUCCUGAUGUGGGACAGAUCUGGAAGAAUCCAGGGCUCCAGAUCCAGAUGAAUCCACCACUAAAAACAGGGUCUGGGAUGCUACAGAACGAGCAGAGGCACUGCUUAAUGUGGCCAAAGAACAGUCAACAGGUUACGACUUCUGAAAUGCCUCAAGUGAUCCAGUGAUUCCCAGAGGAAGCUGAAAGAGUCCAAGCUCAAGAGACGGAGCUGAAGGAAAUCCAAAAGGCAUCACGUGGCCUCAAACUGAGAUUAAAAAGUGGAAUCAUUUUCCAAACACUUUCUCCAAUCCCAGAUUAAUAGACAUAAGGAAGAUAUGUUGAUGAACCCAAGCGCUGUUGAAUUUCACACAUCUACAUUUUCAAACUUGCCCAUGUUUUGCGGUCAUCGAAAACAAACACCAUUGACUCUCACAGCAGUCUCGUAAAUAAACACAAACCAGAAAGUUUGAAUAUACAGAGGCAGAAACACAAUACGACUUCAAUCUGCGUCUUCUGCUCAAAUGGCUUGGAAUAUAACAUCGUAUGGAUACUUUCGUGAUGUUGUUUUGGAGUUCGACAACCUCAAUAAAGACUUCAACGCAGACAAAUGUUAUCUCAAGGUGCUUUUAAUGGUCAGCUAAUGAACUCAAAAGAAACGGAUCAUGCAGCAUUAAUAACAAAAUGAAGAAUGAGUGGAUAAUUAAGGAGUUUAACUUACCCAGGACUUAUUACAGCAUACAACCCAAUUUAUCUUGAAUUAAAGGGAAAUGCUCAUACUUUGACACGGUUGCCAGAUAUUUAAUGUUUCGCUCAAUAAAGCUCUGGAGAGAA
Long non-coding RNA from Carassius gibelio (silver crucian carp), 841 nucleotides. RefSeq lists it as uncharacterized. NCBI's taxonomy places the organism in Eukaryota, Metazoa, Chordata, Actinopteri, Cypriniformes, Cyprinidae. The transcript has 3 exons. The record is from RefSeq and is a predicted model, not a curated record.